CACGAAGUUAGCCGGAGCUUUUUCUCCAGGUACCGUCAUUAUCGUCCCUGGUAAAAGAAUUUUACAAUCCUAAGACCUUCAUCAUUCACGCGGCAUGGCUGCGUCAGGCUUUCGCCCAUUGCGCAAGAUUCCCCACUGCUGCCUCCCGUAGGAGUCUGGGCCGUGUCUCAGUCCCAGUGUGGCUGAUCAUCCUCUCAGACCAGCUAUGGAUCGCGGGCUUGGUGAGCCUUUACCUCACCAACUACCUAAUCCAACGCGGGCCGCUCUAAUGGCGAUAAAUCUUUCCCCCUAAGGGCUCAUUCGGUAUUAGCACAAGUUUCCCUGUGUUGUUCCGAACCAAAAGGUACGUUCCCACGUGUUACUCACCCGUCCGCCACUAAGCCCGAAGGCUUCGUUCGACUUGCAUGUGUUAAGCCUGCCGCCAGCGUCGUCUCUGAGCCAGAGUCAAACUAC
RNAcentral lists this ribosomal RNA (453 nucleotides) under uncultured Asticcacaulis sp. RNAcentral describes it as "partial 16S ribosomal RNA". The record is from RNAcentral. Lineage: Bacteria; Pseudomonadati; Pseudomonadota; Alphaproteobacteria; Caulobacterales; Caulobacteraceae.